RNAcentral lists this transfer RNA (90 nucleotides) under Photobacterium sanguinicancri. RNAcentral describes it as "tRNA-Ser". It matches the Rfam family "tRNA". Rfam says of the family: Transfer RNA (tRNA) molecules are approximately 80 nucleotides in length. Their secondary structure includes four short double-helical elements and three loops (D, anti-codon, and T loops). Lineage: Bacteria; Pseudomonadati; Pseudomonadota; Gammaproteobacteria; Vibrionales; Vibrionaceae. The record is from RNAcentral.
GGAGAGAUGGCUGAGUGGUCGAAAGCACCGGUCUUGAAAACCGCCGGCGGUUUAUCCCGUCCUAGGGUUCAAAUCCCUAUCUCUCCGCCA